GCAGGGGUCACACAUGGCCAUGUGGCAAGGCCGUGUAACUUACACGGCCAAGAGACAUACCCAUCUCUUAAGCUGUAUGGGAAUUCAAAAUGGGGACACACAACCAUGUCCUAACCCAUGUCCGUGCCCAUGUAACUCACUGACUUGGGCCUCAUGGCCAAGCCACAUGACCAUGUGCUAGGCCGUGUACCCUUCGAAGUAACCUCAAAC
This 210-nucleotide long non-coding RNA is filed under the name Gossypium barbadense (sea-island cotton). RNAcentral's name for it is "long non-coding RNA (GBAR_LNC000496)". Lineage: Eukaryota; Viridiplantae; Streptophyta; Magnoliopsida; Malvales; Malvaceae. The record is from RNAcentral.